Molecule: ribosomal RNA, 253 nt
Filed under: uncultured bacterium
Lineage: Bacteria
Description: partial 16S ribosomal RNA
Rfam family: Bacterial small subunit ribosomal RNA
Source: RNAcentral
GACGGAGGUGGCAAGCGUUGUUCGGAUUGACUGGGCGUAAAGGGCGUGUAGGCGGUUGCCCAAGUCCGAUGUGAAAGCCCGAGGCUUAGCCUCGGAAGUGCAUCGGAAACUAGGCAGCUGGAGCGCGAUAGAGGAGGGUAGAAUUCCUGGUGUAGCGGUGAAAUGCGUAGAUAUCAGGAGGAAUACCGGCGGCGAAGGCGGCCCUCUGGAUCGUUGCUGACGCUGAGACGCGAAAGCGUGGGGAGCAAACAGG